UGGGAAUAUUGCACAAUGGGCGAAAGCCUGAUGCAGCAACGCCGCGUGAGUGAUGAAGGUCUUCGGAUUGUAAAGCUCUGUCUUUUGGGACGAUAAUGACGGUACCAAAGGAGGAAGCCACGGCUAACUACGUGCCAGCAGCCGCGGUAAUACGUAGGUGGCGAGCGUUGUCCGGAUUUACUGGGCGUAAAGGGUGCGUAGGCGGAUGUUUAAGUGAGAUGUGAAAUACC
RNAcentral lists this ribosomal RNA (230 nucleotides) under uncultured bacterium. RNAcentral's name for it is "partial 16S ribosomal RNA". It matches the Rfam family "Bacterial small subunit ribosomal RNA", at positions 356 to 603 of the family's 1533-position model. The record is from RNAcentral.